UACAGAGGUCUCAAGCGUUGUUCGGAUUCAUUGGGCGUAAAGGGUGCGUAGGCGGCGCGGUAAGUCGGGUGUGAAAUCUCGGAGCUUAACUCCGAAACUGCAUUCGAUACUGCCGUGCUUGAGGACUGGAGAGGAGACUGGAAUUCCCAGUGUAGAGGUGAAAUUCGUAGAUAUUGGGAAGAACACCGGUGGCGAAGGCGGCGCUCUGGACCGAGACUGACGCUGAGGCGCGAAAGCGUGGGGAGCAAACAGG
RNAcentral lists this ribosomal RNA (253 nucleotides) under uncultured bacterium. Its description in RNAcentral is "partial 16S ribosomal RNA". It matches the Rfam family "Bacterial small subunit ribosomal RNA", at positions 524 to 776 of the family's 1533-position model. The record is from RNAcentral.